This 207-nucleotide ribosomal RNA is filed under the name uncultured bacterium. RNAcentral describes it as "partial 16S ribosomal RNA". It matches the Rfam family "Bacterial small subunit ribosomal RNA", at positions 568 to 774 of the family's 1533-position model. The record is from RNAcentral.
CGUGUAGGCGGUAUUGUAAGUCAGAUGUAAAAGGCUAUGGCUUAACCGUAGAUUGUCAUUUGAAACUACAGUACUUGAGUGCGAGAGAGGGUAGUGGAAUUCCCAGUGUAGCGGUGAAAUGCGUAGAUAUUGGGAAGAACACCAGUAGCGAAGGCGGCUACCUGGCUCGUAACUGACGCUAAUGCGCGAAAGCGUGGGGAGCGAACA